This 1003-nucleotide unclassified non-coding RNA is filed under the name Hevea brasiliensis (rubber tree). The record is from RNAcentral. Lineage: Eukaryota; Viridiplantae; Streptophyta; Magnoliopsida; Malpighiales; Euphorbiaceae.
AGAAAAUGCAUUAUCAUCAUUGAAGAUGGGAUAUAACAGGGUAUUAACAAGUUCAAACAAACAGACAAGAAAGAGAAGAAAAACCAACUCUUCGAUUUCAUCACCUUACAACAACUCCUUUUUCAACCAAACACAAUUUUUGGACGAUUUUUCUGUCCACUCUCAUAUUGACUCGGGGCUAGAACUGGCUCUCUACCAGUGCAUCAAAGCUGGUCUGCUGUAGAGUUUACAAAAUAUGCGCAGUUGUCACCACACAGCAGCAGUCUUUACAUUUUCAGCCACUUGGGUUUGAUAGCUUUCUUAUCAGUAGGCUUGGUUUCCUUGACAACAGGGGUAGGGGCAGGAGGAGAGGCUGCUGUUUCAGGCUCUGCAACAGCCGAUAUAGGCUCCUCUUCUUCACUCACGAUUUCAAGACCUUUCAAAGCCAUGACAUCUUCACUAAGGUAAGGGACUGAACCAACUGCUUCGCCUUCAGGUAGAUCGUAUGAAAAGUAGACGAUUGCACCAGGAACAAAGCCAGCAGAAUAAAAGUCCUGAGUCAAGUCUUUUAUCUGUUUCUUGGGAGGCGUCGUAUAAAUAUAAAAUGGGAGAUCUGGUUGAGCAACUACUUUGGUAAGAAGAUCAACUAAGGUCUGCAUUGUUUCAGAUGGAUGAAAAGUUGCCUCUAAAGUGUGAUUAUCUGGAAAGCGAACUCGUACACUGACCUUUAUGAUCUUUGACCUGCGAGCUGCCUCUUCUGCCUCUCUCAACUUCCGUGUUUUUAAAUAUUUCUCAUCCUUUCUGGUGGCUAAUACCCGAUAAUAGUCUUCCGCUGUAAAUUCAUAAAAACCAUCUGGCUCUUCUCCAGAGUUGGGUAAUUCCUCAGUUGAUGAAGAUGGUGGCAAUGUCUCAAAUACACGAAUCUCUCGUCCAAAUUUUUCUUUCACGCCCAGUAACUUGGCCUUAGAUGAUUGGUGAGCCAUGGAGUCGAUGGUGUAGGAAAACCUCCUUCGCUUGAGUGCUA